Molecule: long non-coding RNA, 5676 nt
Organism: Mirounga angustirostris (Northern elephant seal)
Lineage: Eukaryota; Metazoa; Chordata; Mammalia; Carnivora; Phocidae
Exons: 3
Source: RefSeq, a predicted model, not a curated record
AUUUGAGUCUUCAUAAUUUUUUUUUUUUUAAAGAUUUUAUUUAUUCAUUUAUUUGAGAGAGUGAGAGAGAGAGAGUACAUGAGAGGGGGGAGGGUCAGAGGGAGAAGCAGACUUCCCGCUGAGCAGGGAGCCCGAUGCGGGACUCGAUCCAGGGACUCCAGGAUCAUGACCCAAGCCGAAGGCAGUCGCCCAACCAACUGAGCCACCCAGGUGCCCCGAGUCUUCAUAAUGUUAAAAAUAGGCAUUUGCCAAGAAACUGCAGACAGAAUUCCAAAAAUCAUAUUUGUUAUAUAGAUAUUAAUAAAUGUAGAUGUAAUAUAUAUGUAAAGAAAUCCUGUUUUUAUUAAAUGAUAAAGAGAUAAUACCGAAAAGUUUCUCACGUUACAGAAAAAGAAUAAAGUCCCAAGUCUAAAAUCUCUAUGCGAAACCUGAUCUCUGGUUGUUUCCUCACUAGCAUAAUUAAGCAUAUUUUCCAAACCUUGAAGAUUAAAGCAUCUCUCUUGAGCCCAGCAUAUUUCUUUAUGUAUAGAAUAAUUCUUGCUUACAUGGAACCUAACUCAUUUAUUUAUACCUGCUGUUAGUGUUCUUGGACCCAGUUUCAACGCAGUGGUCGUCGUGGUGUGGUUUCCCCACACCUCUAACAAGCAAUGCUUCGAGCACCAGAUGAAGAAGCUCGGACUCCAAGAAAUAGCCAAGAUGGCUCAGCCCUGAACCUCACUCUCCUACCUCCAAGUCCAAGUGCACCUUCCACUCCAACAUCAUUGUUUUUUUGGUCCUAUUCCAUAGACAAAGAGCAGGCCAAGGUCAGAGGGGUGGGGAAUGUAGAGCGUAAGGGGUUUUGAUGUGGUAAGAGCAGUGGAACAUUUAUGGGGUUCUUUCAGCCAACCAGGAAGUGUGUUUUACUUGUAAUUCCCAAAGCAAUCCGGGAGAGAGGCACUAUUAUUUUAAUCGUAGACGGGAGGAUUGAUUCUAAGGCUUACCUGAGGCUAGUUUAUAUUUGCCCAAGCCCUCAUAGCAUGAGGGAGACUCAGGAAAGUCUCAUUGUAGGGACUGAGUUUUUAACCCUAACACUAGGCUGAGAUCCACCGAUAGGGCCCAUGCCUUAUCUUACAGAGGAGGCACCUGCGACCAGAGAGGUACAUGACUUGCCCCCAGUCCCUCAGUGAGUACUGGGGAGAGAGCCAGGAAAAGAAAGACAGGUUCUCAGGGCUCUUUCCAAGGGACCUCACGAAACACCUGGUUUGUCCUUCAGGGAACUGCCGGUCUGUGGAGACAAAAGAUACUCCCGCUAUUGCUAAGGUCAUUACGGAGGGUUAAUAGAACAAGACCCAAACCUGUGCAUUUAAAGAGCUAUCCCUGCGCGAAACAGCUCUGCGACAGGGUAAGAAAAAAGUCGAGAAUACGGAGACAACUUGGGAUAGGAGAGUCAUCCACAGAUUCACUGCCAGGUCGGGGAACGGCCCACUGGGUCCUCGCCUCCUUCCAUCUCCCCUGCCUGGCCGGGCGCCAGCUCCACGCCCGUGGCUGCGCGCGCGCAGUGCGCGUGCCGGGCAAGGCUCGCCCCAGAGAGAAGGGCGCCCGCCCCCCAACCCCCGCCGCGCUCUCGGCGGCCCAGCUCCGCCCCCUACCUGGAAGGGCUCUGGCUCCGCCCCCGGGGGCCACGCGCUCACGGGCACGUUCUCCAAGCCGCGCGCGACAUCCAGCUGCUCAGUAAGGGCCUUGGGCCCCUCCUCAGGCCCUGCCAUCCCGCACGGCCACCUCUCUACAGCUUUCGCGGACGUUUCGCGCCAUCUCGACGCGCAGGGCGCCUAGACGCUUUCGAGCCUCGCAGAGGAAGCUGGGAAUCGUGGGACGCGCGGCCCCGCCGCCUCCUGGGAGCCGUAGUUUUUCUCUCUCCUUUCACAAGUGGCCUGUGAGGGCGUCUCCUCCCUCGACCCUCAGCUUUCCUUGACUUUUUGGAUUGGCUCGCUCUCUUUUAAGCCAGAUGCACAACAAAUAAUACACAGCUUUGGAAGACACCAAGAACUCGCAAUGACCUGAGUGGACCAAUCCUUCCUUUUCGCCUUUAAAAUAAACUGGGCAAAUAACUUGUCCACGAUCGCCGAGUUAUUAAAGCAACAAACCAAAGCGUUUCCCUAUAUUUCUUCCUCACCUUAGACCUCCGUAGCUACGAGCUUCCUGGCCAAAUCUUGUUGAUUCUACUUUUGUAAUGUUUCGCAUUUUCAUUUCUUUUUCCUUAGUCUCAGGCUCUGGUUUCUUCCUUGGAUUCUUGAAGUUAUUUUUUUCAAGCCUAACAUUCUCCCAAAUCACCUUUACAUUGCUUCUGUAGUCUUGGAGGUUGCACAUCCCAUUGUUACAUUGUUUAAAAUCCUGUGUUUAUGUGCACAGUGCUAUGUUUACCGAUUUGGGGAAUGUACCCACGAAGAAGACAUGAUGCCCCGGGAGAGUUCCAUUCCAGCAAACAAAUAAUUACAUACACCCAGAAAUUAAUAAGAACUAUGAGUAUUAUGAAUAAAUAACUAUAGGUCAAUGGGAAAACUCUUCUGUAUUUGAGAUGAUCAUGCUGUUUUUAUUAUUACUAUUUUUUUACUCUUUCUUGGUAGUAUUGUCUGCCCUUUGGAAUGAUAUUUUGAAGGAUCCAUUUUAUUUUUUUCCUGAAGUUGUCAGUGAAGGUGCUUCCUUUUUUUUUUUUAAAGAUUUUAUUUAUUUAUUUGAGAGAGAGAAUGAGAGAGAACACAUGAGAGGGGGGAGGGUCAGAGGGAGAAGCAGGCUCCCUGCCGAGCAGGGAGCCCGAUGCGGGACUCGAUCCCGGGACUCCAGGAUCAUGACCUGAGCCAAAGGCAGUCGCUUAACCAACUGAGCCACCCAGGCGCCCCGUGAAGGUGCUUCCUGAAUAAGAUAUUUAGUUCAUGUCAGCCCUUCAGUUUAAUUUGUUUUUAUCCUGCUAGCAAAGGAUCCGAAAGUAUUUUAUGUAGCGUGAGAUUAAAAUAAUGAGAGGAUGUUUGCAGGCUGAUAUAUCCAAUCUUCAUAGUGCCAAGCAGUCAGCCUUUCAUCUUUUCCAGGUCUAAAAACUUAUCUUAUUUUCUCUAGACACUUGCUCUUCACUACUAGAAACCUGGAUCUUCAAAAUUUGUCCUGAAAACUUUUUUAGCUAGAUGGUGGGAAAAAAAAAAAAAAAAAAAGUAUUCCUGGACAUUAAUGAGUUGCCCACACACUGACUGCUAUAAAUAAGAUUUGGACCUGAAUAUCACAUUGCUUAUUCAAAUUUCUUGUGUCUUUUUCAUUGGCAGAAGAAAAAUGAAUCUGAUCAGUAAUAAAAAAUAAUGCAAUAUAGUAAAACUCUACUAUUAUGUGGGUUAAUUUAUCUUUGGCUAAAUUAUGGGGUAUGACUAUAUGGCCUUCCCAUUUUUAAACACAAAUGGACUGUAAUUGAGAUGGUUUUGUCUUUUUUUUUUUUUUUUUUGCCAGUGCUUGAAGUUCUGCAUGAUUUUGUAUUGAGAAGCCAUUCUUUCAUCAGUCUUACUAGCGUUAUCUGAGCUUAAUCUGGGGUAUACUUUAUAGCCAGUGAUGAAAGGCCUAAAGUAAGCAGAAGUUAUGUAUUUGUUGGUGUUAAUGACAGCAUGAAUAGAAUAGUUUGGUAAUCUUAACACCAGUUAUAACUAUCACUACUAGAUAUUAAGUAGCACCUGGAUCUCAUAUCAAAUAAGAUUGUGUAAAUGAAAUCAUUUUGAAGAGAACAAAGCAUAGCAGUUGAUACUUCUGGGGGUUUCUGCCCAAUACAUUGACUCUUUCCCUUGCCAACCCCCCCCCGCCUCGCAGUCCAUCCCAUGGGGUGGGCUUGCUGAUAAUCAUGUUUAUAUUACACAACCCCUAAGCCUUGACUCAUGCUUUUGACUUCCUGAUGCAUAUUUGAUUCAAGCUAGGCCACUAAGAUUCUCUUUUUGAGUAGUUGAGACCAAAACCCAGCUAAAACUAUAUAUAUAAUUUGGGAGCAAGAGGUAGUUUUAUUCAGUAUAUUGAUGGAGAGGCAGAGUAAAUUCAGUCUUCCAAGAGGAAAACAAGGCAGGCAAGUGAGGAGAGAGGACUUCUUAGUUCCUGGCAUCUGGCCGUUUCUGGUUCUGAUUCCUUGUUAAUUCACACAACAUAUUUGUAUUCCUAUAACAAGUUCUUCCUUUAGGUUUAGGUUAAGUCUGUGUGGUGUCUGUUACUGUAGUCAAAGAAUUUAGACCAGUGAAAAUGAUGGUAUUAUUACUAUGGGCUGGUAAUCAACUACUCUGUAAGCAGUUAGUUGAUAGUUAUGAAUUUUUGUUUAUUUUAUAAGUUGGUAAGUUAUGUUUUUUAUUUUUAACACUUUGCUUUUCUGAUGUGUGUUACACUAAAGAAUGCCUCCCCAAGAUAAUAUGAAUAGAAAUUUACAUCAAAAAAUAGUAAAAAACCAUAAAAUUUAUAUCUGGUAGAAGGGAUAAUAAUGAGUUAUAGUGUACAUAAUAUAUGCCCAAUAUUGUAAAAAGAUAGUAGAAGAGAAAGGAAAUUGUUCAGAAAAUGCGUCUUUUUAGUAGUUGAAAUUGUAUGUCAAAAUGGAUGGCAUGUGGAUCAUUCUGCAGCAAGAAAAAAAUAUGGCUAUUGAUUAAAAUAACUUGAGAGUGGUAGUUUACAAAAUUAUGGUCCUGUGUUAUUUGUGCUUUUUAAAAGAUAGUAGCUUAUGUUUUUAUGUUUAGACUGCUAGUAAAUAUAUAGUUUAGCAGAAUAAAAAACUUGCAUCAUGUUCUAUAUUUUUAUCAUUGCAUUGCAGUUUAAUGAAAUCCAUAAUUUACCUCAUUGACAUGACAACAAAAAACAUCAAGAUAUAAUUAUAAUCAGAAUAUUGUUCAUCUAAGUGCUUUAGUUGUAAAUAUCCAGGAUUGAUGAUUAUAGAAUAAUAACUCAUAAUGGUAUGCAGUGAGAUGGGGAUUGUUUGAUAAUAGAUAAAGAGGUGAAAGAAGAGAAUUAUGUAUCUAUUUAACCUGAAAGUUGCCAGCAGGGAAUUAAUGUCACUUGUCAAAGACAUGUGAUCAAAUUUAUUACCAGGUGUGUUCAAAUACUAUUACCAAGUCUAUGAGAACAGACUUGCUGUGUUUGCAACUUGUUUGCAACAGCCUUUCAAGGAGUUAGGUUCACACAUUUUCAUUUUGACUUGGGAAGGUUAACUUUACUUGUUACUUAGAAGGAUGCACACAUAAGCAAAACAUCAUGAUUUUUAAAAAGUACUAGAUCGGGGCACCUGGGUGGCUCGGUCGUUAACUGCCUGCCUUCUGCUCAGGUCAUAAUCCCAGGGUCCUGGGGUCGUAGUUUUGAAAGCAAAGAUGUGUAUCCUUUGAAGUUUAGUGCCAUGAAUGUCUUGUUGCAGAGAAAUCUACCUAGAAAUUUAAGCCCACAUCUGCAAGAGUCUACAAGAUAAUUUCCACCAGAUACCCUCAAGUAUCAUCUGACACCAGGAUUUUUCUUAGGAAUUGUAUUAAAUUUCAGCUUCUUAUAAUUCUACAUUCCUGCAACUUUCUAGACCUUUGCAGCAUUUUUGCUCUGGUAGCUUCCCAGCUCCAAUUCUGGUUACUUGGAAAGAGAAGGGAAAUGAAACCAAAGAAACAAAAAGACUAAUGCAAAGAAUUCUACUCAAAUGCCCAAACUAACUUGAUUAAA